GCUUUGUUUACCUAAUCAAGCCUGGGCAAUGGCGGGCGCCCCUCCCCCCGCCUCGCUGCCGCCUUGCAGUUUGAUCUCAGACUGCUGUGCUAGCAAUCAGCGAGAUUCCGUGGGCGUAGGACCCUCCGAGCCAGUUCCCGAGAGAUCCCAUGAUCCAGAGACAAAGGUGGCAGCUUUGGAGCAAGUGGAGAGCCAGAAAAGGAUCCAGAACUGGAGUGGAAGAACAGCUGCUCUCUAGCCUACUUCAUUGACAGCACCAGCCAAGUGAAUAGGUCAGAGAAGAGAGAGACAGAGUCUCGCUAUGUUGCCCAGGCUUGUCUUGAACUCCUGCCUUCAAGCAAUCCUCCCACCUCAGCCUCUCAAAGUGCUGGCAUUACAGCUGAAGCUAUGCCAUCUUUUAUGUCUGAUGAGGCAGUUUCAUCUGAUUUGAAGAUGAUGAAGAAAAGUUCUUUGCAAGGUUGCUUAUUGAAUAUUACUGGGAAAACAGGAAAAUUAGGAGGAAUGUUCUGGAGUGAUUUAUCUUUUUCAUCAGGGGCCCGCGUUCAGUCCAGCCACCAGAUCAACACAUUCUCCAAACUCAUUAACUUUGGAGAGGCUACCCAGAGUUCCUGAAGAGUUCAUCUGAAAAAUGUUGAAAUAGUCACAGCCCAUGGAAUCAAUGUUUUGGGUGCACCAAUGAAGAGUUAAACAGUAUGCAUUUGACCACACAUACU
Molecule: long non-coding RNA, 713 nt
Filed under: Homo sapiens (human)
Lineage: Eukaryota; Metazoa; Chordata; Mammalia; Primates; Hominidae
Description: PREDICTED lncRNA (TCONS_00251286)
Source: RNAcentral